CAUAUUCCGGAUUAAAACAAAACCCAAAAUAUCCUCAACGUUAUCAUGAAAAUUACGAGCAAUUUAUUUGUUAAAAGAUAACAUGACUAUAUAACGUGAGAGACGUAACUACCAAUCGCAAACGUGGUUGAUAACGCAGGAAUAUCGAUUAUAUUCUAAUGUAGAGGUCAAAUAGAAUUCUAUCAAAUUGGAUUGAAAUCAAAUGGAGCGAUAAAAAAGAAAAAAGUUAACUAUUAAAUAUAAUAAAUCAUAGAAAAAGAAAAAAAUCAAUGAGAGAUUUUCUAAAUGCGUGAUUACAAAAUUCGUGUUAAUAUUACAUAUAUAAAUAAAACUUCACACGCGAUACAAAAUAAUAAUUAUGAAUGAAACUAGUAAAAGAAGAAACUCGAUUAAACAAAGUUACAAAGUGGUACAUGUAUAUAAAACACGUGUCAUUAAAUUCAAACGUAUUGUCUGCAUUUUAUUGCGUGACUUCAAAAGGAUAAGAAUGAAAGAGAGAAUAAUUCAGAUGAAUAAAAUAAAAGAGAGAGAGAGAGAAUGAGUUUUGUUAGAAAAAGUUCAUCCUAACGUAUUAAUAUAAUACCUACCUGUCUUCAUCCUCGAUCACAUCUACCAUGUCGAUCAUGACCAUUUUUUGUUAAUAUUAAAAUCGCUUCUUUGAAAA
Molecule: long non-coding RNA, 664 nt
Filed under: Polistes fuscatus (common paper wasp)
Lineage: Eukaryota; Metazoa; Arthropoda; Insecta; Hymenoptera; Vespidae
Description: uncharacterized LOC122514386
Source: RNAcentral